Molecule: long non-coding RNA, 1287 nt
Filed under: Toxoplasma gondii VEG
Lineage: Eukaryota; Apicomplexa; Conoidasida; Eucoccidiorida; Sarcocystidae
Source: RNAcentral
AAGAUUCUUGAAGUCGACAGCGCUGACAAAACGGUUCGCCCCUGCUUUUCUCCUUUGCCCCGUCUUAUCUUGUGAACAUGUGGUUCUCUCGCCCCACCGUCAUAUCCUUUCCAUGUUAAAGAUAGCGACUUCCUUCUUUCAGGCGCGACCAGCCUUUCUCUGAGGACAUUUGCGAGAUUUUCUGUGGCCAGUGCCACAAGAGAAUGUAUUGGUGAUUUUCGUUGUUUUGCCAUCAGUGAGCUAGCAUCUCACAUGCUGCAGGAAUAAACAGAAGGAUCAGAAACGGAGAGGGCGAACGUUCACUUGCUUCUCCUUCACACACUGUCACUUGUUCUUCCUCGACAGUUGUUGUUCCUCUACAUUUCUGGAUUUGUGUGCCGAACACUCUGCAUCGUAUUCAAGGACUCCUCAUCCGUGGGACUCUGUCUCUGGGAUAGCGAUGUAUCAGCAUUUGCAGGGGCAGAAGCGAAGGGGGGACACCGGACAAGCGCCGCUGAUCUCGCAGCGAAUUCCGCACUCUUUCGCGAGUCACGUUCCCGUCCGCCAAGCACUUCUUGUCCACACCUGCCAGUCCUGCGGUGGAAUCUGUCAUUCAUCAGUGGUGUAUAAUUCCUUCGUCUGAAAGUAAGGAAACAAGGCAUCAAAGACUUUUUAUCAAAAAGAUUGUACAGAGCAGGAUCACGUGCCGAUUUGCCUGCGACGAUCGGUGUCCUUUCUCCGCCGUUGCCGAUUGCCUACGUGCAGGCAGACGGCAAUUCUGUGCAGUCGUUCUCAAGAAAAGCUUCUCUAUUGGGGCAGAGAUGCUGCCAUGACUCCCCUGCCCCUGGGAGAAGCAAAUCGACGCCUGUGUCUCUUUGUCGAAUCGAACGGGCCGUCUCUGUGGACCCGACAUCUUUCCGUUAGACUCAGGAGAAAGACAUAUCAUGAGAAAGUGAGGAAAAAUUCCACGGAGUCAGUGUGUAUCCCCUCUUUCAGUGUUGUGCUUUUCCUCAUCAUCCCAAAUUGCACACGAUGGAACUAAAGAAGGGUCAACAGCUGUCUGUUUAGUGCGGCAGAUUUCUUCCAAAACGGGUAAGGAGGCGAACUCGAGAAGAGAUUCAGGUAACAAAAUCGGGGAUCCUCGCCGUACAUGAGAAGGAUUUUUUUGUGCCACAUGGUCUGUCUAUAGAACUACUGCAGAGGGUUUUUCGAAACGGCUGAGAUAUGGAAAACCUGUUUCCUGUGCUGCUCCCAAAUCAGUGUUGCUGGACCUUCUGAGUUCUUGUCUAAUUUACGUUUCACUAAAAC